GGGACUCGCCCCGGGCUCGGCCAUUGGUCCAGUGUGCGUGGGGGGCGGGUCCUAAGCCGUUGACAGCUGUUGUGGCGGGGAGGAUUGGACCGUCCGAGGGAGGCUAAUUAAGGGUGGAUGGGCCGAGGGGAGCGUGUAGGUGGUUAAGUAUUUGCCUGAGAACUCAGUUAACUUCCUUCUUAGGCUUUUCCCCUUGCCCUUAACACACGUGGGGUUAAUUUGAAGUGGAUAUUAGAGAAAAAAGCCUCAAGGACUUCGACCUUUGAAGGUUCUCGGAAGCCAACCCCUUAAUAUACUAUCACGGCAACUGAUCAUGGCCCGUUCCUCCUACUUUCUUGGCCUGCAGUUUUGAACACUGUCUUUGGUCAAUGGCUUAAUGGCCAGAGAGGUGACAUCAUGUGGACACAGGCUGUGUUGCCAGAGUUGGCUACUUGGUGGAGAUCAUUUGAGGCAACCUGAACACAAAGGAGAAAAUAUCCAAUUCCUCAGGAGCAUCAAUCAUACAUGGAGGUCAGAAGAGGGAGAAAACUACAAAGUACUCCUAAAGGUCUGUUUCCAGCCCCAGUCCUUACCUCAGCCUGCAUUCUCCAGAAAUCAGCUUCUUUCAGGCUAUUCACCUCACAAUUGAUGACAAGAAUAUCUGGCAGAUGGCGGAUGUUGCGGGUCUGAAUCUGAGAAAAUAAAACAAACGAGGAAUGGCAGGGAGCCUAUAGGAAAAGAAACCCCAACAGAAACAGGUCUCCAGGCACUGACCUGACAAGGGUCACCUCGGGAGAGGUCCAACAUGUGGAAGAGGAAGCCCAGUUCGCAUGCCAGGCAGAAUUCCUUUUGGCAAAGGUGGUUCUGGAUUAGACAGCGAACAGGUUCCAGGAAAUAGAGCACCUGGAGAGAAAUUCCAGGGAGUAUACUCUGGCGCCUUCUACCCGCUCCUUCAACCCCUUCAUACCUGACUGGGAGAUAAUAGCAAGACGAGAGGUAUAUGUAGGGAUGAAGCGCAAGAAGGCAGGAUCCACGUGUACUUGAAGUGGCGUGAUGGCACGCAUCAUGCGCAGGUCAUACACCUUGAGGAAACGGUCACAGGCCAGGCCGGUGAGGCGGCUGGAGAAGCCACAGGCAGCCAGCAGGUUGCCGUGCACAUCAAAAUCCGACAGGCUCCCUGAGAAAGCAUCAAAUUCAUGCUCCACCUUAAAAGUACGGAGGUCUCGAAGGGAAACCUGAAGAGUUGAGAACUUGGUUAUCUGCCAACGCUGUUAUCAGGAAGAGGAACUGACAUCUACCUAACCCUGUGAGGCUCCUACUAAAAGAACUAAGGUUCUAGAAUACAGGCAAUUAAAGCACAGAAAAGGCAAAAUGAGAAGCCAAGGGCUGGAAGGGACCCUAAAGAGAACUCUCGUUUAUCCUGUUGCCUCCAAGGUACCCAUUCACAACAGAAAACAUCAGGUUGGAAGAUAAUCUUAUAGUGUAACAUGACUGAGCAGGAACUCAAUUCAUUCCUCCCACCCCACCAACUAAAGCCCCAGAAUUGAGGGAAAGACAGAGCCCAAUCACAUAUCUGUGAAACAGGGUCCUAUGGUGGGAGGGAAAAUGGAACUUCGCCACCUUGCCAGAUGUAUGGCCACAGAAGAAGAAGCGAUUUGUCUGCCUCAUGAUAGUGACUCCAGGCGUCUCAACUGCAUACUGGGGAGGGAAGCGGAAGGAACCAGUGAGAAUGAUUCUUCCCACAGACCAAAGGAACAGAAAGGUCACACACACAUCACAGGCGAUUCCAGCCCGGGUAUACUCCCCACUAACAACCUCAGGCCCUGGGUCCUGCGUGUACCUUCUGAGUCUCCUGGACAGUGUUAAGGUCAAUCUCCAGUAUGUGGUUCUGCAGCCCACCAACGAGCAGAGUGCUGCUGUCAGUCAGCAGGAGACUGUGCAUAUCCUCACUCUCAUCCAGCCUGUGGGAAAGGAAAAGCUGACGGGCCAGAGUCUCACAAGUUUCCAGUCGUUUAGCCUUCCCACUCUAUGAGGGACCCUCUUUCCCAGUCCAGAGGUGAGAAGCCACUCACAGGUAAUCAAAUAUAAUGAGACCCCCACGGGUCAUAUACUUGAGGUUGUUCUUUGUGAGAAAAAGGAUGCCAUUCUCCAGGCUCUGGAUCUGCCGAAUGUCAUCACUGCCAUUGACUUGAAAGGAUGAGUAGCGCUCCAAAGCUGGGCCGAAAAAUGAAGUGGCAUGGCCCUGUAACGGAUGAAAAGAUGAGACAACUUGAGUGGAGGGGAAGGGCCAUCCCAGAUACAAAUCAGAGACUGGACAUUGCUCAGUUUUUCUCCAUUCUUGCCUGGCCUUUCUGGCUGGCAGUGACCAAGGUAUAAGGCUGGGCACCAAUGUUAGUGAUAACGACACUGAUAAUAUUAUCUUAUGUUUGUUUAAUACUUUACAGAGUACUUUUGUAAACUCUACUUCAUUUUAUCCUCACAAUGACCCUGCUGAAUAGCUAAUGGCUCAGUUGGUUAUGUAACAGUGUUCAGAAGGUCAAGGACACAGGUCCAAUCCUCUAUUGGCCAGCUGGCUUUCUUAUGUUCCACAGUCAAGUCUAAAUCCAUGUGGCAAGUGUAUACUGUGGGUCAGACUACAGCAGAGAGAAUGUGAAACUCAUUCCACCCUUGGCUCCUAUGACAUCAUUCACUCCUGGUUUCACUCCUGACUCUUAGCUCAUACCUUCUCCUUAUGUGCAACCCUUAUGACCCCUCUUGAAAUAUGGCUAUUCCCAGCCCACUAUCUUCUCACUCUACUUGGUCUUCUUAGGUAAUCUCACCCCAUCUCAAGUUUUUAACCAUUCAUCUUAAAGCUGAUGAAUCCUAAUUUCCUUCCCUAGCCCGAACCAUUGCCUCAAGCUUCAGACUUACACAUCCAAAUUCCUACUAAACAUCUCUCCUUGGAUAUCCCAUAAGAACCCCAACUCCCCACAUCCUAAAUCAAAUUCACCAUUUCAAUUCUUCCUAAUUAUAUUCCCUAUGGUACCAUGAUCUACCCAGGAGUAAGUCACUGGUAGCUGACUUAAGUCUUAUUUAUUUACUUCCUAAAUAUUUCCCAAAUCAGUUCUCAUGAAUAAAUCUCUACAGUGCUUCA
Long non-coding RNA from Camelus dromedarius (Arabian camel), 3112 nucleotides. RefSeq lists it as uncharacterized. The record is from RefSeq and is a predicted model, not a curated record. NCBI's taxonomy places the organism in Eukaryota, Metazoa, Chordata, Mammalia, Artiodactyla, Camelidae. The transcript is spliced from 4 exons.